RNAcentral lists this long non-coding RNA (361 nucleotides) under Physcomitrium patens. RNAcentral describes it as "long non-coding RNA (PPAT_LNC005069)". Lineage: Eukaryota; Viridiplantae; Streptophyta; Bryopsida; Funariales; Funariaceae. The record is from RNAcentral.
UAGAAUAGAUGUUAAUUCAUUUUUGAAAGAAAUUGAUAAAAUAUAUUAAUAGUCCAUAUAAUAGGAAAUUCAGGAGGACGGAUGAGUGAGUUAGUUAUUAAAAGCGGUUACUUAUAGAAUAACGAUUGAAAUCUGGAGAAUCAAAAGAAAAUAUAUAAGAGUUGUAGAAGUUAAUUAAGGGGCGAGACUGUGAUAGUGUGAGCCGGGGUAAGCUUGGUGCUACCUCUUUUCUUUUAUUUUUUAUUUUCUUUGAAUAAGAAGAUUAAGAGUUUCUGAAUAUUGUGAAAGUGAAUUAUGGAAUGGAAGUAUGAUUGUUAUUAAAUGGAAAGAAGAAAGAUUGAAUGCUAAAAUCUGAUUGUAG